GGCCGUUUCUCUGGCUCGAUCUGCUGCUACGGUGUCCAGGCGGCCGGAAGGAGAUGGUCGGUGGUUGGAGGGGCUGUAGGCGCGCUGGUCUUACACGGUGAGGGUUGGCGAGGUGGGCUACUCGGGUCCACUGGUUGGAUGGUUAUGGUUGCCGGCGAAAGCUGAACUCCGGCAGUGGCUGGAGUUGUCGAUGGCGGCACCGGCAGACCGUUUCCUUGCUGAAGGUAUCAAUGUUGCAGUCCUCACCUUCCACUGCCCCAUGCCUCCCCCUGUGAUUCACUGAAAACCUGAUUCGAUCCAGUUUGCAUGCUUUGUACUGUAUUGCGCAGCAGCCAGACAUGCCCAUCCGGCCCGAAAGGAAUCGGCAAGCUGCAGAUUGAUCAAGCUAAGUAAUUUUCUUAUCUUUGUUUGCACGGCCAUAUAGCACGCCUUCUUGCUGAUUACUUCUUCCCGUACACUCACCUGAAACAACAUAGAUUCACUAAUUGAUUUCGGCCAGAUGCGCUGAUAUAGAAAUUUAGCUUGAUUAGUUAAUCUUCAGCUAGAUGAGCGCACACAUGUAACACACAGAACGUGCAAACACGGGAAAAUCUAUUGGAUGGCAAUAGGUGUGUGAUGCACCUAUGUUUUUAUUGUUUUGAUCUGGUCAAGUUCACAGGGGUUCUUAUUUUCAUAAGGCCAAAUGGUGUUCAUCAAUGCUUUGGAUAUGUUUCCCCUUUUUGCUAUGUAUGUUUUCAUGAUAUUUCUCUUGUCCUUUACAUAAAAUAUCUUUCCAUUGCCCCUCCGAUGACUCCCAAAUGUUGUAGUUCAUCUGUCAAAAAAGGUGCUUUGCCUGAUAAUAUUUUUUUUGUUAUGUUUGUUCAACAGUACACAGCAACAUUGAUUGUGCUAGGCGUGAUGGAAAUGUGAUGCUCGCAGACACUUGUCAAGAUGCGGAAGGAUGGGGACACAAUGGUGAGGAACUUGGGUAUAUGAUUGAUAGACAUGAUCAGAAUAUGCAUGCCACAUUAGGUUGACAUGUAGUGGAGAGGAGCCAAGGUAGGGGUGGUGAAGGGAGGCAUUGGAAGAACAAAGAAGAAGGUAUUUGGCAGGAAAUAAGGCAAAAAAAUCAGUUGGACACAUAGCUUUAGCAAAAAUGAGCUCAUCAUUUUUGAGUGUUUACUACAUCCUGGUCAUCUACAAGUACUACAAGACAUCAUAUGUAACUACAACCUUUCUCUUCAACAUGUCGUUUAUUUUGCGGGUGUCAUGUCUUUCAUUUUUGCGGGUAGCAUUUAUGUUGAAGACAAUUCUUUAUUCCUUUGUAAGGUGAAAUACAAGCAUGUUAAUUAUUGUAUGAUAUAGAUUUUGUUUAUAUAUACUUAUAUAGUAUUUAAAUUCAACAUGUCGUUUAAGAGAGAGAGAGAGAGAGAGAGAGAGAGAGAGAGAGAGAGAGAUUACCACUCAAAUUAGUAUUUAAUGUAAUGAAGGUCAGACUCUUGUCUGGUUUGCAGGAGAGAGGGAGGUGUUGGCCGGGUCAUGGUUCAGUUUACUGUGGAUUUUCAGUUCUUUUCACCUCAUAAUUAUCUUUAUUUAUAUGUUAAGUUUUUUUUUUCUUUUGGUCCUUCCCAAUUGAGGCUUCUUGUGCACCUUGAUUUAGUUAUGUUCUUUGUUUGGUGCCAAUGUCUUAGGACAAUACUUUCAUGCAUGUAUUAUUUCCAGCAUUCAAAUUUGAGACCUUUGUUCCACUAGGUUCGUUGCAUUCACCUUAUUGAAGAUAAUAAACACUUAUUGAGGAACAUGCUAAGGAUGGAGGAACGAACGUCAAG
This 1808-nucleotide long non-coding RNA is filed under the name Triticum aestivum (bread wheat). RNAcentral describes it as "long non-coding RNA (TAES_LNC000005)". The record is from RNAcentral. Lineage: Eukaryota; Viridiplantae; Streptophyta; Magnoliopsida; Poales; Poaceae.